This 253-nucleotide ribosomal RNA is filed under the name uncultured bacterium. RNAcentral describes it as "partial 16S ribosomal RNA". It matches the Rfam family "Archaeal small subunit ribosomal RNA", at positions 474 to 727 of the family's 1478-position model. The record is from RNAcentral.
UACCAGCACCCCGAGUGGUCGGGACGAUUAUUGGGCCUAAAGCAUCCGUAGCCGGUCCUGCAAGUCUUCCGUUAAAUCCAGCUGCUCAACAGAUGGGCUGCGGGAGAUACUACAGGGCUAGGAGGCGGGAGAGGCAAGCGGUACUUUAUGGGUAGGGGUAAAAUCCGCUGAUCCAUAGAAGACCACCAGUGGCGAAGGCGGCUUGCCAGAACGCGCUCGACGGUGAGGGAUGGAAGCUGGGGGAGCAAACCGG